This 1372-nucleotide ribosomal RNA is filed under the name uncultured bacterium. RNAcentral's name for it is "bacterial SSU rRNA". It matches the Rfam family "Bacterial small subunit ribosomal RNA", at positions 28 to 1381 of the family's 1533-position model. The record is from RNAcentral.
GAUGAACGCUGGCGGCGUGCCUAAUACAUGCAAGUCGAGCGAACGGACGAGAAGCUUGCUUCUCUGAUGUUAGCGGCGGACGGGUGAGUAACACGUGGAUAACCUACCUAUAAGACUGGGAUAACUUCGGGAAACCGGAGCUAAUACCGGAUAAUAUUUUGAACCGCAUGGUUCAAAAGUGAAAGACGGCCUUGCUGUCACUUAUAGAUGGAUCCGCGCUGCAUUAGCUAGUUGGUAAGGUAACGGCUUACCAAGGCAACGAUGCAUAGCCGACCUGAGAGGGUGAUCGGCCACACUGGAACUGAGACACGGUCCAGACUCCUACGGGAGGCAGCAGUAGGGAAUCUUCCGCAAUGGGCGAAAGCCUGACGGAGCAACGCCGCGUGAGUGAUGAAGGUCUUCGGAUCGUAAAACUCUGUUAUUAGGGAAGAACAUAUGUGUAAGUAACUGUGCACAUCUUGACGGUACCUAAUCAGAAAGCCACGGCUAACUACGUGCCAGCAGCCGCGGUAAUACGUAGGUGGCAAGCGUUAUCCGGAAUUAUUGGGCGUAAAGCGCGCGUAGGCGGUUUUUUAAGUCUGACGUGAAAGCCCACGGCUCAACCGUGGAGGGUCAUUGGAAACUGGAAAACUUGAGUGCAGAAGAGGAAAGUGGAAUUCCAUGUGUAGCGGUGAAAUGCGCAGAGAUAUGGAGGAACACCAGUGGCGAAGGCGACUUUCUGGUCUGUAACUGACGCUGAUGUGCGAAAGCGUGGGGAUCAAACAGGAUUAGAUACCCUGGUAGUCCACGCCGUAAACGAUGAGUGCUAAGUGUUAGGGGGUUUCCGCCCCUUAGUGCUGCAGCUAACGCAUUAAGCACUCCGCCUGGGGAGUACGACCGCAAGGUUGAAACUCAAAGGAAUUGACGGGGACCCGCACAAGCGGUGGAGCAUGUGGUUUAAUUCGAAGCAACGCGAAGAACCUUACCAAAUCUUGACAUCCUUUGACAACUCUAGAGAUAGAGCUUUCCCCUUCGGGGGACAAAGUGACAGGUGGUGCAUGGUUGUCGUCAGCUCGUGUCGUGAGAUGUUGGGUUAAGUCCCGCAACGAGCGCAACCCUUAAGCUUAGUUGCCAUCAUUAAGUUGGGCACUCUAAGUUGACUGCCGGUGACAAACCGGAGGAAGGUGGGGAUGACGUCAAAUCAUCAUGCCCCUUAUGAUUUGGGCUACACACGUGCUACAAUGGACAAUACAAAGGGCAGCGAAACCGUGAGGUCAAGCAAAUCCCAUAAAGUUGUUCUCAGUUCGGAUUGUAGUCUGCAACUCGACUACAUGAAGCUGGAAUCGCUAGUAAUCGUAGAUCAGCAUGCUACGGUGAAUACGUUCCCGGGUCU